GACGAACGCUGGCGGCGUGCUUAACACAUGCAAGUCGAACGAUGACGCCCGAGCUUGCUCGGUCUGAUUAGUGGCGAACGGGUGAGUAACACGUGAGCAACCUGCCCUUCACUCUGGGAUAACCUCGGGAAAUCGGGGCUAAUACCGGAUAUGAGCUCCUGUCGCAUGGCGGGUGUUGGAAAGUUUUUCGGUGCAGGAUGGGCUCGCGGCCUAUCAGUUUGUUGGUGAGGUAGUGGCUCACCAAGGCGAUGACGGGUAGCCGGCCUGAGAGGGCGACCGGCCACACUGGGACUGAGACACGGCCCAGACUCCUACGGGAGGCAGCAGUGGGGAAUAUUGCACAAUGGGCGAAAGCCUGAUGCAGCGACGCCGCGUGAGGGAUGACGGCCUUCGGGUUGUAAACCUCUUUCAGCAGGGAAGAAGCGAAAGUGACGGUACCUGCAGAAGAAGCGCCGGCUAACUACGUG
This 467-nucleotide ribosomal RNA is filed under the name uncultured bacterium. RNAcentral's name for it is "partial 16S ribosomal RNA". It matches the Rfam family "Bacterial small subunit ribosomal RNA", at positions 28 to 507 of the family's 1533-position model. The record is from RNAcentral.